Molecule: ribosomal RNA, 253 nt
Filed under: uncultured bacterium
Lineage: Bacteria
Description: partial 16S ribosomal RNA
Rfam family: Bacterial small subunit ribosomal RNA
Source: RNAcentral
UACGAAGGGGGCUAGCGUUGCUCGGAAUCACUGGGCGUAAAGCGCACGUAGGCGGCUUUCUAAGUCAGGGGUGAAAUCCUGGAGCUCAACUCCAGAACUGCCUUUGAUACUGGAGAGCUUGAGUCCGGAAGAGGUGAGUGGAACUCCGAGUGUAGAGGUGAAAUUCGUAGAUAUUCGGUGGAACACCAGUGGCGAAGGCGACUCGCUGGACUGAUACUGACGCUGAGGUGCGAAAGCGUGGGGAGCGAAAGGG